This 253-nucleotide ribosomal RNA is filed under the name uncultured bacterium. RNAcentral's name for it is "partial 16S ribosomal RNA". It matches the Rfam family "Bacterial small subunit ribosomal RNA", at positions 524 to 776 of the family's 1533-position model. The record is from RNAcentral.
UACGGAGGGAGCUAGCGUUGUUCGGAAUUACUGGGCGUAAAGCGUGCGUAGGUGGUUUGUUAAGUCUGUUGUGAAAGCCCCGGGCUCAACCUGGGAAUGGCAAUGGAUACUGGCAAGCUAGAGUGCGGUAGAGGGUAGUGGAAUUCCCGGUGUAGCGGUGAAAUGCGUAGAGAUCGGGAGGAACACCAGUGGCGAAGGCGGCUACCUGGACAAGCACUGACACUGAGGCACGAAAGCGUGGGGAGCAAACAGG